RNAcentral lists this long non-coding RNA (257 nucleotides) under Malus domestica (apple). RNAcentral's name for it is "long non-coding RNA (MDOM_LNC005610)". Lineage: Eukaryota; Viridiplantae; Streptophyta; Magnoliopsida; Rosales; Rosaceae. The record is from RNAcentral.
AAGGUCGUUUGCUUGACAGAGUUGGCACAGUAGCUGCUGCCUUUUUCAUAGGAGGGGCAAGUCUUUUCUUAGCCACGACCAUCACAAUCACUUUGGCCCUCUUUAUAGUACAGCCACCUUAAAACACUAAGUUUAGGUUAGAAUUAAGUUCGAAAUGAAUAAAUGAACAAGGGAAGUAAGAAGGUAUAUACCUUGAGCUGUGUCUUUAGAUUUUGGGACGAUAGUCUUUUUGUGUCGAUCGCCAAAAAGCUUAUUGG